AACGAACGCUGGCGGCAUGCCUAAUACAUGCAAGUCGAACGGACGUAGCAAUACGUGAGUGGCGGACGGGUGAGUAACACGUGGGAACCUGCCCAGCGGUGGGGAACAACCGAGGGAAACUUCGGCUAAUACCGCAUACGCCCUUACGGGGAAAGAUUUAUCGCCGUUGGAGGGGCCCGCGUCCGAUUAGCUAGUUGGUGAGGUAACGGCUCACCAAGGCGACGAUCGGUAACUGGUCUGAGAGGACGACCAGUCACACUGGGACUGAGACACGGCCCAGACUCCUACGGGAGGCAGCAGUAGGGAAUAUUGGACAAUGGGGGAAACCCUGAUCCAGCAAUGCCGCGUGAGUGAUGAAGGCCUUAGGGUUGUAAAGCUCUUUCGCCCACGACGAUGAUGACGGUAGUGGGAGAAGAAGCCCCGGCUAACUUCGUGCCAGCCGCCGCAGUAA
Molecule: ribosomal RNA, 451 nt
Filed under: uncultured bacterium
Lineage: Bacteria
Description: partial 16S ribosomal RNA
Rfam family: Bacterial small subunit ribosomal RNA
Source: RNAcentral